RNAcentral lists this ribosomal RNA (274 nucleotides) under uncultured bacterium. RNAcentral's name for it is "partial 16S ribosomal RNA". It matches the Rfam family "Bacterial small subunit ribosomal RNA", at positions 523 to 796 of the family's 1533-position model. The record is from RNAcentral.
AUACGGAGGGUGCAAGCGUUAUUCGGAAUCACUGGGCGUAAAGCGCACGUAGGUGGAUAUUUAAGUCGGAUGUGAAAGCCCUGGGCUUAACCUAGGAAUUGCAUUCGAUACUGGGUAUCUAGAGUAUGGUAGAGGGAAGUGGAAUUUCCGGUGUAGCGGUGAAAUGCGUAGAUAUCGGAAAGAACACCAGUGGCGAAGGCGGCUUCCUGGACCAAUACUGACACUGAGGUGCGAAAGCGUGGGGAGCAAACAGGAUUAGAGACCCGAGUAGUCC